CCUACGGGCGGCUGCAGUGGGGAAUAUUGGACAAUGGGGGCAACCCUGAUCCAGCCAUGCCGCGUGUGUGAAGAAGGCCCUCGGGUUGUAAAGCACUUUCAGUGAGGAAGAACGCCUGGUGGUUAAUACCCAUCAGGAAAGACAUCACUCACAGAAGAAGCACCGGCUAACUCCGUGCCAGCAGCCGCGGUAAUACGGAGGGUGCGAGCGUUAAUCGGAAUUACUGGGCGUAAAGCGCGCGUAGGUGGCUUGAUAAGCCGGUUGUGAAAGCCCCGGGCUCAACCUGGGAACGGCAUCCGGAACUGUCAAGCUAGAGUGCAGGAGAGGAAGGUAGAAUUCCCGGUGUAGCGGUGAAAUGCGUAGAGAUCGGGAGGAAUACCAGUGGCGAAGGCGGCCUUCUGGACUGACACUGACACUGAGUUGCGAAAGCGUGGGUAGCAAACAGGAUUAGAUACCCUUGUAGUC
RNAcentral lists this ribosomal RNA (465 nucleotides) under Vreelandella stevensii. RNAcentral describes it as "partial 16S ribosomal RNA". It matches the Rfam family "Bacterial small subunit ribosomal RNA", at positions 338 to 795 of the family's 1533-position model. Lineage: Bacteria; Pseudomonadati; Pseudomonadota; Gammaproteobacteria; Oceanospirillales; Halomonadaceae. The record is from RNAcentral.